GGAACAGUGUUCGGUGGGACUGCGGCCGGCCUGCCAGCCUCGUCGGUGACCAGCGUCCGGGAACCUACUGGCUAAUACGGGACUUUUUCGUUUUCUGUUUUUAACUGGAAGCGGUAGUAGUUAAAUUUUGAAAAAUCAAGGGGAAAAGAAAAGAGUUUACUGAAAGUAAAAUAAGAACUAGAGCUAACUCUUAAGCGGCUACUUUGUGCUUAGAAUCUCACACACAUGUCAGAAGGGGCCUUCGAGGUUUUCUAAGCUAAGGAUGAUUUUUCAGUGAGCUGGGAUGGAGAGAGGUGGGGGCUGCACAGAGGGAGCAUUGGGGAUAUCUCCCACUUAUCCUUCAGGUUUGCAGCAGCAUCACAUUUUCUGGGAAACUGUGCAAUCCCUGUUCCAGACACAGGCUCGGUGCUUUUCCUCUGGGUCCCCUUGGCAUCUGUGCAGACUGUAGAAUUGGAUUGACCACACUAUAGUGGGAUCACCUUCUUUCUGGCUCCUGCAAUCUGCCAUGAGAAGAACAUGCCAUAGGCAGCCAGCGGGACUUCUUUUGUCUGGCCCCAGGAUCACAUACAAGGAACCAACCUGAUCAUGGGCCACCCUGCGUGCAACUGAGCCCAGCCAAUUCACUGCUGAUCUGCAGACUAAUGAGAGAAAAUACCAGCACUUAAUCUUGAUGCAGGCUUUGUUUUCUGGAGAACCCAAGCUAAGACAUAGACCCAGAUAGAUCAUGGCAUGAUGAAGAUGAUAAAAACGAGGCAGCUCACUGUAUAGAAAAAUAGUGGACUAAAAAUAGGUGGACUUGAAUUCUGCCCUUGAGUUUUCCACCAAUAGGCUUAUGAUUUUGGGAAAGUCAGCCUGGGCUUGGGCUUCAGAUACAUCAUCUAUAAAAUGCAAAGUUUGUUGAAGAGUAUUUCCAGCUCUGGCUAACAUUUGUGAUUUUCCUGAAGUUAUUGGGAAACCUAUAUCCAGAUGGAAUCUGAAGAGAGAGUUGCAGCCACCCUUUGGAUGAUAUGUUGUCCUUUUUCCCUCUUCCAAGAUUUUUUCCUGUUUCUCUAUUUCUUAGUUUGGCAGAUUAUUUGUUCUUUAAGAUUCAGUUCAAAUAUCAUUUUUUUUGUGUGUGUGAACCUUCCCUGACUUUCUUAGACAAUUUCCUCCUUUUUACUCUGGGUAACUUUACAUACCUGUGCAGUAAUUCUUAUUCCAUCAUUACAUGAUUAUUUGUAUAUAUGUUUGUUUUCCACUAAACUGUGGGCAUUUUCAAAACCACAACCACACAUUUAUUAUUCUUUAAGAAGUAAAUCAAUUUCAGUGGUGUUACAGAAGCUAUAGCCUUUUCUUUGUUUUCUUAAUACGUUAUUUACUUGUAAACUCUAAUUAGAUGCAAGCACUUUCAGAACAAUUUUUGUGAUCAAAUUCCACUCUUCUCCUCUAAAGCUGUACUAGCUCAUGUGCACAAAGAGACUUACAUAAGGAUGUUUAUUGUGGCCUUGCUUGAAAUAAUGAGAAAUGGGACUUACUCAUAUUUGCCCUUUAGUAAAGGAAUAACUAAAUUCUCCUCCUCCUCCUUUUCCUUGUUUUUCUUCCUCCUCUCUUUCCUUCCCUAACAGUACUCUAUUAGUACUCUUUUCUCCUCUACUGCUGGUGCUAAAAACACACCCCAGCUGCUGUGCCUGCCACCACCAACACCACUAGCACUAUAGUGACAUCAUUACCAGCAAUAAUGUGUUACACAGAGCUUACUAUACUGGAGAAGGGAGUGGGGAAACAGUAAUGUGGAGGGUGAUAAAAGGAUUUUUUAAUAAUAUUACAUAUUUUAAAAGGACAAGAUAUUCUUUUUUAUGGCUAGUCAUUUUGUUUGUUCUUUCUGUGAAAUCUUUACUAAGUCUAAGAUUGUGAAAAUUUUGUCUUAUGCUUUCUUUUAGAAACUUUAUGGUUCUAGUGUAUAUGUGGAGGUCUAUGUUAUACUCACAUCACAUUUUGUGCAUGGAGUGAGGUAGGAGAUGAGGGUUUUUUCCCACAUAUGUAUCUAAUUGUUCCAGUAUCAUUUGCAAAAACCUUUUCUUUCCCCAAUAAAUUUACAUGACACCUUGCUUGAUAAUCAAUUGACCAGAUACGUGUGGCUGUAUUUCUGGACUGUCUGUUCUAUUUGUCCAUGUUAUCCUUAAGCCAAUACCACACAGUCCUUAUAGCUUUAUCAGCUAGUGUAAAUCCUCCAGUUUUGUCCUUUUAAAAUACUAUUUUGUAUAAUCUAAGUCAUUUGCAUUUCCAUAUAAUUUUAGAAUUGAUUAAUUAAAGACUUCUAGGAUUUUGAUAGUGUUUUAAUUGAAUGUAUAAAUGUGUUUGGGCAUUUUCAACAAUGUUGAAGAUUGAAAUCUAUGCAUAUGAUAUAUUUGUCCAUUUAUUCAAAUCUUUAAUUUUUAUCAUAAAUGUUUAGUUUUCAGGGUAGAAGUUUCCUAUAGCUUUCAAUAAAAUUCUUAGGUAUUUUAUAUAUUUUUGAUGCUAUUGUAUAUGAUACUGCUUUCUAGAUUUUACUUUUUAUUGUUUGUUGCUAAUAUAUAGAAAUACAUUGUCCUUACAAGUUUUCCAUUGCUCUUCCUUUAAGCUCUCCUUACCUUCUUCAUCCUUAUACAAUCAUUGAUCUGCUUUUGGUCACUGUACAUACAUUAGGUUGUGCUUUCUAGAAUUUUAUAUACAUGAGGUCAUAUAGAUUAUACUCAUUUUGUCAUUCAGCAUAAUUAUUUUGAGAUUCAACCAUGAUGUAGCAUGUAUCAAUAGUUUAUCCCUUUUGUUGCUGAAUAGUAUUCCACUGUGUGAAUAAAUAAUAGUUUGUCCAUUCACCCAUUGAUGGGUAUUUGGAUUCUUUCCAAUUUGGACCAUUAAAAAUAAAGCUGCUAUGAACAUUUGUGUACAAAUAUUUAUAUAGAUACAUUCUUUAUCCUGGGUAAAUACUUAAGGGAGAAAUGGAUGGAUUUUAUGGUAACCUUAAAAGAAAACUGUCAACUGUUUCUCAGAGUUGUACUAUUUCAUAAGUCUGUCAUCACUGUAUGAGAGUUCCAGUUUCUACAGUUUCUCUAUAUUAUCACCAAUACUUGGUAUGGCCAAUCUGUGUUUUUAAUUUUUAAUUAUAGCCCUUCAGAUAGAUGGAUAGGAGUAUCUCACUGUGGUUCAAAUUUGCAUUUCUCUAAUUACUGACAAUGUUAAGAAUCUUUUCAUGUGUUCAUUUGCCAUUCAUAUAUAUGUAUAAUAUGUAUAUAAGUAUAUAUAUAUCAAUAUAUAAUAAGUUAUAUAAGUAUAACUUUUUUGGCUAAGUGUCUGUUCAAAUCUUAAGUCCUUUUAAAAACAGAGUUAUUCAUUUUCUUAAGGAUUUUGAGGGCCUUUAUAUAUUCUGGGUACAAAUUUUUUUUUAAUCAUCUAUAUCAUUUGGAAAUACAUUCUCCUAACCUGUAGCUUAUCUUCUCAUUCUCUAAACAGCAUCUUUUGAAGAACAGAAAAUUUUAAUUUUAAUAAAGUCCAGUUUAUUAUUUUGUUCUUUCAUUGGUUAUUCUUUUAUUGUAGCUAAACAAGC
This is a long non-coding RNA of Manis pentadactyla (Chinese pangolin), 3562 nucleotides long. RefSeq lists it as uncharacterized. Lineage: Eukaryota; Metazoa; Chordata; Mammalia; Pholidota; Manidae. The transcript is spliced from 6 exons. The record is from RefSeq and is a predicted model, not a curated record.